RNAcentral lists this ribosomal RNA (253 nucleotides) under uncultured bacterium. Its description in RNAcentral is "partial 16S ribosomal RNA". It matches the Rfam family "Bacterial small subunit ribosomal RNA", at positions 524 to 776 of the family's 1533-position model. The record is from RNAcentral.
UACAGAGGUCCCGAGCGUUGUUCGGAUUUAUUGGGCGUAAAGGGUGCGUAGGCGGCGGAGUAAGUUGGGUGUGAAAUCCCGAGGCUCAACCUCGGAAUUGCAUUCAAUACUGCUUCGCUCGAGUACUGGAGAGGAGGCUGGAAUUUACGGUGUAGCAGUGAAAUGCGUAGAUAUCGUGAAGAACACCAGAGGCGAAGGCGGCUACCUGGACAAUUGCUGACGCUCAGGCACGAAAGCGUGGGGAGCAAAAGGG